UACGGAGGGUGCGAGCGUUGUCCGGAAUCACUGGGCGUAAAGGGCGCGUAGGUGGCUUGGUCAGCGUGUGGUGAAAGCUCGGGGCUCAACCCCGAGUCGGCCAUGCGAACUGCCGAGCUUGAGCACUGUAGAGGCAGACGGAAUUCCGGGUGUAGCGGUGGAAUGCGUAGAGAUCCGGAAGAACACCGGUGGCGAAGGCGGUCUGCUGGGCAGUUGCUGACACUGAGGCGCGACAGCGUGGGGAGCAAACAGGAUUAGAUACCCUGUAGUCC
Molecule: ribosomal RNA, 272 nt
Filed under: uncultured prokaryote
Description: partial 16S ribosomal RNA
Rfam family: Bacterial small subunit ribosomal RNA
Source: RNAcentral